GAAGUGCAACAGGACUGUGAUCAGUGAGGCCACGAUGGAGAUGCUGCAGCCCACGAGGGAGAUGUAUGUAAGAGGUGCCAGCAACUCUGCAGGGACCAGGGCCGGGGAGAAUUGCUGCAGGAGGGAAGAGGGGCUGGAGGCCAGAAGCAUAGUAUCGCCCUCCCUCCCAGCCUCAGUCAGAGAGACCUCCUGAGGCCUCCUCUCCAAGUCCCCUUCCCCACAAGCCUAGCCAUGGACCUGGCCUGAACGAGGCCAUGGCAGAUACAGAUCAGCAUCUGCACUUCCCCUAGGAGCUCAUUCUUUCACCCUAGUCCCUGGGCCCUGUGACCCAGGCCUGGCCAAUCCACACCUUCCAUCCCCCUGGACAUAGUGACAGGUAAAGGGAUGUACACAUGACCCAGUUGAACCUUUAAGAUCCUGAGACCCUGGUCUGCACUGGGGCAGGUUGGGGAUGGAGAGUGGGGGGAAGAGCCUGAUGGGAAGAAGGAAAGGAAGUCUGGCUCUUCAGCAUCCAUCAUGCCACAGAAUGGACAGCCCAGGCAGGAGACCAUUGCUGAGAUGGAGACAGACUGAGCCACGAGGGCAUCAGAUCUGUCCCUGGAUCCAGCUGUGCCUGAAGCUGGUGGACCACCCCUAGACAUUUCAUUGAUGUGUGCCAAUCAGUUCCCUCUGUGCUCAAGCUGGCUUGAGGUGGUCUUUUCUCACUUGCAACUGAAAGCAUCCUGACAAAUGCAUGAGUAAAAACCUCUCUUUCUUAUUUCUUGA
Molecule: non-coding RNA, 765 nt
Organism: Macaca mulatta (Rhesus monkey)
Lineage: Eukaryota; Metazoa; Chordata; Mammalia; Primates; Cercopithecidae
Source: RefSeq, a predicted model, not a curated record